This 978-nucleotide long non-coding RNA is filed under the name Phascolarctos cinereus (koala). Its description in RNAcentral is "lncRNA (ENSPCIG00000031462.1)". Lineage: Eukaryota; Metazoa; Chordata; Mammalia; Diprotodontia; Phascolarctidae. The record is from RNAcentral.
CCCCUAGCCCCCAGCUCCUCUGUUCCAUCUGGGGCUGGCUGAGUCCCGGGCCCGGCGGGGUCAUCAACUACAGGGAAUGAACUGCAAGAAUGAGUCAGACUGGGACAAAUCGCUGGGGUCCAGCAACACUGAUAACUCCCAGGCUUCUCUGCUCCGGAUUCUGUUCCUGGACGUGCAGAAUGUGCUAUGCCCCCGGUGCCGCAACAGGAGGAGGAAUGCUCGGUGCCAGAGAUCGAUCGAGGAGUGUACGGACCAGUGCUCGACUGCGCACGAUGACAGGAGCGAAGACUUAGACCAGAACCAAGACAGGGACAGGGACAGGGACCUGGACUGGGAUGGGGAUGGAGAAGAGGACGGUGAUGGGGACGGGGACGGGGACGGGGACACCUCCACGUGUUGGGUUCAGUACUUAAGCCGAGACCACCACCGCUCUAACCAGAGCCGCUCCCUUUCUUCCGAGUCCCCUCGGACAAGGCAAAGAGCGUCCUUCGGCUUGCAGUGGCUUCAUCCUCUGGAGCUGGCUCUGUAUGUAGCUGGUGGGCUGGUCCUGCUGUCCUUGCUAGGAACAGAGAACUUAGAAACGCUUCUGCCCUUCUUUUUCCUCUUUGUCCUUUACGUGCUAUUCACUAUGCCCCUGGCAAAGGUACUAGGCAGCAAGAGGCCAUCUCCAAAGCAGAUUUGGAGGCAGUAUUAAGGCAAAGCUCUGGGUCUAAUACGCUCUCAGCCCCAAAUGCAGGGGAGCUCUCCUCGGAAUGCAGACCAUAUCCUCGAAUAUUGAAAUCCAUACCUGGAAUACAGUGCCCUGACCAGAGCAGACCCGAUCUCCUUAAUCUCUGCCCAAUCUCCAAUAGGAAUCUUGGACUGGGAAGCAAACACGGGAGCCCAAAAUACAGCCCAAAUACAAAGGACCCCAGACCCAAACAAGACCCAGACUGGAAAACAUCUGAAAAAAGCAAUAAAGGGGCCCUGACCCAGCCA